RNAcentral lists this ribosomal RNA (270 nucleotides) under uncultured bacterium. RNAcentral describes it as "partial 16S ribosomal RNA". It matches the Rfam family "Bacterial small subunit ribosomal RNA", at positions 82 to 354 of the family's 1533-position model. The record is from RNAcentral.
CCUUUGCCGGCGACCGGCGCACGGGUGAGUAACACGUAUGCAACCUGCCCUCUUCGGGGGACAACCUUCCGAAAGGGAGGCUAAUCCCGCGUAUAUCGGUUUCGGGCAUCCGAGAUCGAGGAAAGAUUCAUCGGAAGAGGAUGGGCAUGCGGCGCAUUAGCUAGACGGCGGGGUAACGGCCCACCGUGGCGACGAUGCGUAGGGGUUCUGAGAGGAAGGUCCCCCACACUGGUACUGAGACACGGACCAGACUCCUACGGAAGGCAGCAG